Molecule: ribosomal RNA, 506 nt
Filed under: uncultured bacterium
Lineage: Bacteria
Description: partial 16S ribosomal RNA
Rfam family: Bacterial small subunit ribosomal RNA
Source: RNAcentral
AGUGAACGCUGGCGGUAGGCCUAACACAUGCAAGUCGAACGGCAGCACAGGAGAGCUUGCUCUCUGGGUGGCGAGUGGCGGACGGGUGAGGAAUACAUCGGAAUCUACUUUUUCGUGGGGGAUAACGUAGGGAAACUUACGCUAAUACCGCAUACGACCCACGGGUGAAAGCAGGGGACCUUCGGGCCUUGCGCGAUUGAAUGAGCCGAUGUCGGAUUAGCUAGUUGGCGGGGUAAAGGCCCACCAAGGCGACGAUCCGUAGCUGGUCUGAGAGGAUGAUCAGCCACACUGGAACUGAGACACGGUCCAGACUCCUACGGGAGGCAGCAGUGGGGAAUAUUGGACAGUGGGCGCAAGCCUGAUCCAGCCAUACCGCGUGGGUGAAGAAGGCCUUCGGGUUGUAAAGCCCUUUUGUUGGGAAAGAAAUCCAGCUGGCUAAUACCCGGUUGGGAUGACGGUACCCAAAGAAUAAGCACCGGCUAACUUCGUGCUAGCAGCCGCCGCAG